AUGAAGGGCGGCGGAGCCAUCCGGAGCGGCGGCGGGGGCGGCGGCGGGCUGAUGCGGACGCGGCUGCGGCUCCCCGUGGUGCUCCUCUCCUGCUCCCUCUUCUUCCUCGCCGGCUUCCUCGGCUCCCUCCUCUUCACCCAGGAUCCGCAGGGGGAGGAGGACGUGGAGCGGCCGCUGCGGAGGGAGCGGCUCAUGGAGGCGGUCUGGCCGGAGAUGGCGUACGGGGAGUCCGGCGAGCCCGCGCCCUCCUUGAUCCCUUACCAGAUUUUGAGCUGGCAACCUCGUGCAUUAUAUUUUCCACAAUUUGCAACAGCAGAACAGUGUGAGAAUGUGGUAAAAACUGCAAAGGCACGGCUUAGGCCAUCAACAUUGGCCUUAAGGAAAGGAGAAAGCGAGGAGACUACCAAAGGAAUAAGGACAAGCUCAGGCACAUUCCUUAGUGCCGAAGAAGAUCCAACUGGAGCUCUUGCAGAAAUUGAAAUGAAGAUUGCAAAGGCUACCAUGAUGCCGAGAAGUCAUGGAGAGCCAUUUAAUGUCCUUCGGUAUGAGAUUGGACAGAAGUAUGCUUCACACUAUGAUGCAUUUGACCCGGCUCAAUAUGGUCCACAAAAAAGCCAAAGGGUGGCAUCUUUCUUGCUCUAUCUCACGGAUGUCGAGGAAGGUGGAGAAACCAUGUUCCCGUACGAGAAUGGGGAUAAUAUGAACAUAGGCUACGACUACGAGCAGUGCAUCGGCUUAAAGGUAAAACCGAGGAAGGGCGACGGCCUCUUGUUUUACUCCCUUAUGGUAAAUGGUACCAUUGAUCCGACUUCACUUCAUGGAAGCUGCCCAGUGGUGAGAGGAGAGAAAUGGGUCGCCACGAAAUGGAUUAGAGACAAGACGCUGUAA
RNAcentral lists this ribosomal RNA (888 nucleotides) under Triticum aestivum (bread wheat). RNAcentral's name for it is "partial small subunit ribosomal RNA". The record is from RNAcentral. Lineage: Eukaryota; Viridiplantae; Streptophyta; Magnoliopsida; Poales; Poaceae.